AUGGGGUCAAUCAUUUGUAUUGAUCUUCCCUUACAGGUAUGGACAUUCCACUCCUCAUUCAGUCUCCAGCACAGGAACAUGUCAGAGAGGGACAUAAGGCUCAGUUAUAUUGCGCUGUGCACAACGCCAGUGUGAAUGUCAUUGAUGUACACUGGUACCGACAACGCCCAGGAGGACACCAGAAGGAGUGGUUGCUAACACACAUGGUAAAUGGCACUGUGCGGAGGUGCCAGACUUGUGCCUUGGCUCUCCAGCCUUCCAGAGACACCUCCAACAACACCUUCACUCUGUCAGUCCUAAAUGUGCUGUUCAGUGAUGUUGGAGUCUAUUACUGUGCUGUGUGGGAAGAUGUCUUUGGGAAUGGCACCGAGCUGAAUGUAACAAAACCCGGGAGUGAUAGCCUCAGCUCGGUCAUUGUGUUUCUCAUACUGGUGAUCUGCAUCAUCGCGGUAGUCACUCUUCUCUACAUGUUUUGGAAGCGGUUUGGAAACAAACGAUCCCGCUCUGUUUUGAAAUCUCAAAAGGAAUAUUUUAAACGCCAGAAUCAGUUCUCAACAGAUCCUAAAGAGUCUUCAGAGACCAUCUACGCGAACCUACAGGAUUUCGGUUUGGAACUUAACGAUAUCUACACGAACGCCUAGCAACAAAGUAAAGUCAGUUCAGAAAUGGUAGGUUUUUCACACACUCUUGCACCAACACCCACCCUCAUCCGCACCCUCCC
Non-coding RNA from Callorhinchus milii (elephant shark), 721 nucleotides. NCBI's taxonomy places the organism in Eukaryota, Metazoa, Chordata, Chondrichthyes, Chimaeriformes, Callorhinchidae. The record is from the annotation of a RefSeq genome assembly.